UACGAAGGGGGCUAGCGUUGUUCGGAGUUACUGGGCGUAAAGGGCGCGUAGGCGGCGCACCAAGUCAGGCGUGAAAGCCCUGGGCUCAACCCGGGAAUUGCGCUUGAGACUGGUGUGCUUGAGUACGGGAGAGGAUAGUGGAAUUCCCAGUGUAGAGGUGAAAUUCGUAGAGAUGUGGAGGAACACCAGUGGCAGAAGGCGACUCUUUGGCCUGUAACUGACGCUGAGGCGCGAAAGCGUGGGGAGCAAACAGG
Molecule: ribosomal RNA, 254 nt
Filed under: uncultured bacterium
Lineage: Bacteria
Description: partial 16S ribosomal RNA
Rfam family: Bacterial small subunit ribosomal RNA
Source: RNAcentral